CAGCCGCCGCGGUAAUACGAAGGGUGCAAGCGUUACUCGGAAUUACUGGGCGUAAAGCGUGCGUAGGUGGUGGUUUAAGUCCGUUGUGAAAGCCCUGGGCUCAACCUGGGAAUCGCAGUGGAUACUGGGUCACUAGAGUGUGGUAGAGGAUAGUGGAAUUUCCGGUGUAGCAGUGAAAUGCGUAGAGAUCGGAAGGAACAUCUGUGGCGAAGGCGGCCAUCUGGGACAACACUGACGCUGAGGCACGAAAGCGUGGGGAGCAAACAGGAUUAGAUACCCCCGUAGUCCCUGUCUCUUAUAC
Molecule: ribosomal RNA, 301 nt
Filed under: uncultured bacterium
Lineage: Bacteria
Description: partial 16S ribosomal RNA
Rfam family: Bacterial small subunit ribosomal RNA
Source: RNAcentral